AGCUAAUACCGGAUAAUAUUUUGAACCGCAUGGUUCAAAAGUGAAAGACGGUCUUGCUGUCACUUAUAGAUGGAUCCGCGCUGCAUUAGCUAGUUGGUAAGGUAACGGCUUACCAAGGCAACGAUGCAUAGCCGACCUGAGAGGGUGAUCGGCCACACUGGAACUGAGACACGGUCCAGACUCCUACGGGAGGCAGCAGUAGGGAAUCUUCCGCAAUGGGCGAAAGCCUGACGGAGCAACGCCGCGUGAGUGAUGAAGGUCUUCGGAUCGUAAAACUCUGUUAUUAGGGAAGAACAUAUGUGUAAGUAACUGUGCACAUCUUGACGGUACCUAAUCAGAAAGCCACGGCUAACUACGUGCCAGCAGCCGCGGUAAUACGUAGGUGGCAAGCGUUAUCCGGAAUUAUUGGGCGUAAAGCGCGCGUAGGCGGUUUUUUAAGUCUGAUGUGAAAGCCCACGGCUCAACCGUGGAGGGUCAUUGGAAACUGGAAAACUUGAGUGCAGAAGAGGAAAGUGGAAUUCCAUGUGUAGCGGUGAAAUGCGCAGAGAUAUGGAGGAACACCAGUGGCGAAGGCGACUUUCUGGUCUGUAACUGACGCUGAUGUGCGAAAGCGUGGGGAUCAAACAGGAUUAGAUACCCUGGUAGUCCACGCCGUAAACGAUGAGUGCUAAGUGUUAGGGGGUUUCCGCCCCUUAGUGCUGCAGCUAACGCAUUAAGCACUCCGCCUGGGGAGUACGACCGCAAGGUUGAAACUCAAAGGAAUUGACGGGGACCCGCACAAGCGGUGGAGCAUGUGGUUUAAUUCGAAGCAACGCGAAGAACCUUACCAAAUCUUGACAUCCUUUGACAACUCUAGAGAUAGAGCCUUCCCCUUCGGGGGACAAAGUGACAGGUGGUGCAUGGUUGUCGUCAGCUCGUGUCGUGAGAUGUUGGGUUAAGUCCCGCAACGAGCGCAACCCUUAAGCUUAGUUGCCAUCAUUAAGUUGGGCACUCUAAGUUGACUGCCGGUGACAAACCGGAGGAAGGUGGGGAUGACGUCAAAUCAUCAUGCCCCUUAUGAUUUGGGCUACACACGUGCUACAAUGGACAAUACAAAGGGCAGCGAAACCGCGAGGUCAAGCAAAUCCCAUAAAGUUGUUCUCAGUUCGGAUUGUAGUCUGCAACUCGACUACAUGAAGCUGGAAUCGCUAGUAAUCGUAGAUCAGCAUGCUACGGUGAAUACGUUCCCGGGUCUUGUACACACCGCCCGUCACACCACGAGAGUUUGUAACACCCGAAGCCGGUGGAGUAACCUUUUAGGAGCUAGCCGUCGAAGGUGGGACAAAUGAUUGGGGUGAAGUCGUAACAAGGUAGCCGUAUCGGAAGGUGCGGCUGGAUCACCUCCUUUCUAAGGA
This 1394-nucleotide ribosomal RNA is filed under the name Staphylococcus aureus. Its description in RNAcentral is "bacterial SSU rRNA". It matches the Rfam family "Bacterial small subunit ribosomal RNA", at positions 161 to 1533 of the family's 1533-position model. Lineage: Bacteria; Bacillati; Bacillota; Bacilli; Caryophanales; Staphylococcaceae. The record is from RNAcentral.